This 301-nucleotide ribosomal RNA is filed under the name uncultured bacterium. RNAcentral describes it as "partial 16S ribosomal RNA". It matches the Rfam family "Bacterial small subunit ribosomal RNA", at positions 509 to 807 of the family's 1533-position model. The record is from RNAcentral.
CAGCCGCCGCGGUAAUACGUAGGGUGCGAGCGUUAAUCGGAAUUACUGGGCGUAAAGCGAGCGCAGACGGUUACUUAAGCAGGAUGUGAAAUCCCCGGGCUCAACCUGGGAACUGCGUUCUGAACUGGGUGACUAGGGUGUGUCAGAGGGAGGUAGAAUUCCACGUGUAGCAGUGAAAUGCGUAGAGAUGUGGAGGAAUACCGAUGGCGAAGGCAGCCUCCUGGGAUAACACUGACGUUCAUGCUCGAAAGCGUGGGUAGCAAACAGGAUUAGAUACCCCCGUAGUCCCUGUCUCUUAUAC